GCCUACCUCAGAGCAGGCGAGAUCACCCGCUGAAUUUAAGCA
Molecule: ribosomal RNA, 42 nt
Filed under: Orthetrum sabina
Lineage: Eukaryota; Metazoa; Arthropoda; Insecta; Odonata; Libellulidae
Also listed under: 5 other names
Description: partial 28S ribosomal RNA
Source: RNAcentral